Molecule: ribosomal RNA, 253 nt
Filed under: uncultured bacterium
Lineage: Bacteria
Description: partial 16S ribosomal RNA
Rfam family: Bacterial small subunit ribosomal RNA
Source: RNAcentral
UACAGAGGUCCCGAGCGUUGUUCGGAUUCAUUGGGCGUAAAGGGUGCGUAGGUGGCGCCGUAAGUCGGGUGUGAAAUUUCGGAGCUCAACUCCGAAACUGCAUUCGAUACUGCGGUGCUUGAGGACUGGAGAGGAGACUGGAAUUCAUGGUGUAGCAGUGAAAUGCGUAGAGAUCAUGAGGAAGACCAGUGGCGAAGGCGGGUCUCUGGACAGUUCCUGACACUGAGGCACGAAGGCCAGGGGAGCAAACGGG